ACAGUCAGUCCUGUGGUCGGAGUGGGUGCUGGAGACCAGGGGAAGAUAUGAGGCUCAUCAGCGCACCUUGAGCUGUGGGAACGGCGGUGAGGUACUCCGGAGCGCUCGGGCCCUAGGAUUUCCCGCCCACACAGCCUGCCUCUGUGAACUGCGCUGCCAUUAUGGAAUCCUCCAGUCCAGAGAUGACCAGGGGUGGCUGUUUGGAUUGAAGGGAAGACGUGGCUGCAACUCUCCAGGUGCUGGCUGGAGGUCAUGAGCACAAAUACAAGGUGAAAUCGAGGAGAGAGAGAGAGAAGGGAAAGAGGAGAGCCGGCUUGAGUUCCAUGUUUGAGACCAAACUCUGAAAAGUACCAGAAUUCUCUACACACACCUCACCUUCCAGUGUUUCCUGAUGUUUUACGUGUUUGUUGAGAUUUGCCACCAGAAGGGUCCCCGGCAUCCUUCCUCAGCUCCUCCCUGAGGAAGCAGAGUCCAGUAACAUGGAAGAGGACAGCAAAAUCUAGAAAAAGAAAAGCAGGCAGGUUGGCGUGGCGGUGCUGGGCCUGGACUCAGAAUUCUCAAGUCCUGGAUUCAAGUUGUGGUCCAGGACCAGCAGCAGAGCACCUGGGAGCUUGUUAGAAAUGCUGAGUCACAAGCUCACCCCAGACCGAAUCGUCAGAAUCCAGAUUUUAACAAGAAGGCUGCUGGUGAUUUGAAUGUCCACUAACGCUGACGAAUACUGUCCCAGUAGACCUUACCCACUGUUUUAAAGAGAGAUGAAGAAGGCAAGAAUUAUUGGGUGCCCUUGUCACGGAAGAAUAAGGAGAAUCCACAGAAUCGCUUAAUCAGGAAUGUGCUCAUCUGUGUGGACCAGCCCUAGCCAAAAGAAAUAAUGAGAGCGACGUGUAUAGUUUUAAAUGGAUACACUGCUCGCUAAAAAAGUAAAAGGGACAGACAAAAUGGGUACGACAAUUGGCUGAACAAAAAAUGGACAAGCAAAGCAAUGCAGCAGGGCCUGAUUUGUAAAGGACACACAGUUUACUACUUUGAGAAUAGGAGUUCUGGUUCAACACGGCAACACUGGAAGAUCCUGAACUGCCCUGGACCCACAGACCCUACAACUGCAUAAGGAAUAAUUUCCUCUGAAAAAGACCUAGAAACUAGCUGAACACCUCCUACCUGGGAGGUGAAGAAGAAGAAAAGACCAGCAUUGAAGGAGAUGCUGAGGGCAUUUUUAUGGACAUCCCCCACCACCAAAGGAUUUGCAAACCCUGGUUCAAGGCCAGGGGCACCAGGCUGCAAGGAAAGCACCAGGAGAACGAAGUGCGUGGAUGAGGACAGUCAGAAGCACCAGAGACAGCCGAAGGACUCCUCAAAUGUUUCCACCCACAUCCUUGUGAGCAGAGGUUAGAGAGGGAACCUGGGUUGGUGAGGGGAGAAGGUUAGCCUAGAGAGA
Mustela erminea (ermine) is the source of this 1435-nucleotide long non-coding RNA. RefSeq lists it as uncharacterized. NCBI's taxonomy places the organism in Eukaryota, Metazoa, Chordata, Mammalia, Carnivora, Mustelidae. The record is from RefSeq and is a predicted model, not a curated record. The transcript is spliced from 9 exons.